This 427-nucleotide ribosomal RNA is filed under the name uncultured Acidobacteriota bacterium. RNAcentral's name for it is "bacterial SSU rRNA". It matches the Rfam family "Bacterial small subunit ribosomal RNA", at positions 958 to 1385 of the family's 1533-position model. The record is from RNAcentral. Lineage: Bacteria; Pseudomonadati; Acidobacteriota.
AACGCGAAGAACCUUACCUGGGCUUGAACCGCACAGGACCAUUCCUAGAAAUAGGGACUUCCCGCAAGGGACCUGUGUAGAGGUGCUGCAUGGCUGUCGUCAGCUCGUGCCGUGAGGUGUUGGGUUAAGUCCCGCAACGAGCGCAACCCUUACUCGUAGUUGCCACCCGCAAGGGGGAACUCUACGAGGACUGCUCCGGAUAACGGAGAGGAAGGUGGGGAUGAGGUCAAGUCAGCAUGGCCUUUAUGUCCAGGGCUACACACGUGUUACAAUGCGCGCUACAAAGCGUUGCAAACCCGCGAGGGGGAGCUAAUCGCAAAAAAGCGCGCUCAGUUCGGAUUGCAGUCUGCAACUCGACUGCAUGAAGCUGGAAUCGCUAGUAAUGGCGCAUCAGAACGGCGCCGUGAAUACGUUCCCGGGCCUUGUA